Long non-coding RNA from Mus musculus (house mouse), 1310 nucleotides. RefSeq annotates it as predicted gene, 32267. Lineage: Eukaryota; Metazoa; Chordata; Mammalia; Rodentia; Muridae. The record is from RefSeq and is a predicted model, not a curated record. The transcript has 3 exons.
CUUCUCCCUGCACCAAGGGGCAUAUUGGAGUUGCCAGCCCAGUCCCUAAAGCUCUAAGGGGUACUACUUCUGAACUCCCCCUCUCUAGACCUUAGUGGUUUUGCGUGUAGGAUAGAUGGAGGCUGAAGAUGAUUUCAAGGGAUCUCAAAGAUCCAGCAGGAGGUUCCUCUCUCCUAUCAGGUCUGGGCCAGCAGUGAACUCCAUUGCUCUACCCACCCCAACCUCCCCAAACUGAGCUCAGACAGCCCACUGCUUUCCUAACAUGUUUUUCUUUCCAGACUCUCUCCGGAAAGUCAUGGGUCAGCCCCAGCACUGCUCUCCUGUCCUGCUGGGUCCUCAAUAUAAAAUACUACCCAGGUUGCUAGAAAAGCAGUACCUGGGAUGAAGACUUCUGGGAUGCCCUUCUUGGUUCCUGCCACAUUACUAGCAACAUGACAGCUCCGGGCUUCAGUUUUCUUAUCUUCAAAGUGUAAAUUCCAACAUCUGUCUAACCUAUUUAUUUCUCACGCUGCCUAUCCCAGUGAGACCAGAACAUACGGACAAUGAUAAGUCAGGUGGCCAGAGACAGGCUUCUCCAGAGGAUACAGAGAGCAACCCUCACUAUCUGCUCCCCAUCAAUGCCAACCUCCAAAAUCACCUCUGCAGUGGGCUCCCAGAGCCUGAAUCCCACAGGCUGCCCAACACUCCCCAGAGCCGCAGCUCACUGUCUUCCAGCCUGUGUUUUCAGAACUGCACAGGCCCCACGACACAGGUAGAGUGAGCAGGAACACGGCCACUGACCCCUGUUCUUGUCUCAAUGACUCCUAUCUCAGUCCCUCAGACUUCUCCACAGCAGACCACUUCUACCCAACCACAGACCUCCUCCUCCUCACAGCUUCCAUUCUCUGGCUCUUCUGGCUCUCCUCCAUUAGGCCAGCCACCACUCAGCCCUGGGGCAGGAGCUCUCAUGACCCUCUAAUCAAACAGCCAACAACAGCCAAGGCUCUGAAUUCAUAUCCAGGAGAAGUCAUGGCUUGCUACCCUUUGGUGGGGGCAGAAGCAAGAGAGGCAAGCAUGCACAGCACAGGAAACAAGCCUUCCUAGGAGGAAGGAAACCAACCUAUCUCUGUCAGAUCAUCAAUUUCUACGAGCACACCAGUCCACAGCACCAUCAGAGGGGUCGCAUCUGUCUGCUUGGUGGCCCGUCUGAGGGAAGGGGAGCCACAUGUGAGCACACAUGGAAUAUAUCUACUUUGUCACACAGGCUAACGUGAGUCUUCCCUGAGGCUCGCUGGAGCCCAGGCUGAGGGUGACGGCAACCUUACCCUUGA